UUUGAAUCUGGGCAAGAUCCAUCACCUGACAUUCCCUUCACAUCGUGCUGUGGCUGCUAGAUGGUGCCUGGCUUAAAGUAUACCCACCUUUCACAGGAAAAGGACAGACCGAUUAAUAGCAGAAUCAAGAAAUCACCAUGAUUCUAAAAUACAUGCCUUGAUUACUGGGCUCUACGCUCAGCCACCUGAUCUUAAAAAUCAGAAUUGCUAAGUUAAUGGGUCCUUGUACCUUUAAGCUGCAUAUCGGAUUGAACCUUACAGUUUUUCAUCUUCUUGUAUAAAAGCAGAAAAAGUUUUUUCUUCAAAAGGAUUUAGAAGAUUAAGAGAAGGCUUAAAAUGCACUAUAUAUGAUUGUCUCCUGUUCUUCCAGAGACCACAAAAAUCAGAGUGGAUUGUCAUCUACCUGCAGAUGCAUUGCAGUUACUAUCCUAGUAGUUCUUUACUAACUCCACAUUAAAAGUACAGAAGCCCUUUAGCAUACUUCGCUAUGAAAUAAUCUGCUUUAGUAUAGGCCAUCACUGAAGGCAGUUUGAGCUAACUCUGCUGAGAUGUGAUCACUACCCGAUUUACCUCAGUGCCGUUUGUACCUGUGUGGCGAUACACUUCAAAGCACACUGCAAACCGGGAGCCUUCACUAUCCAAAAAUUUAGUUGGCAAUGCUUUUUCACCAUUAAUCUGUAUACUCCUCCUCACUCAUUACUCAAUGCAACCUGUACUUUUUUGAAGUGUUACACUGAGCACAACGAACUGUGAAAGUUUAGAUACUGCUAUGAAGAAAACAAAACCCUGUACUUCCUAUUGGAAAUCCACACAGAUCUCCACAGUUAACCUAAAAAAACACCAACUACUUCCAAGAAGCAAUUGUUGGGUCUGAGACUUACUGAUCAGUUCAUGCCAUACAGAUAUUAAGACUGCUUUCUUGGACAGAAACACGACCACCUGAAUGGCUCAGAACAUCAACAAACCAAACUGUGUAUUUCAGACCCUUACACCAUUUAAAAAAAAUACACUGCCAUUUAUUACACCAUUCCCAUUGUAAGAUCCUGUCUAUGCAAAACCAAGUUGCAAACACCACAUACGUGCAAGGACGUUACUUUAAAUCCAAUGGAUUUAAGUACUUCCAGAUCCUUGUAAUUUUAACUGAAAAAUCAAUCUCACAAGUUAAUCCCAUAAUGGGAUCUUUUUAAAUUUGCUGAGAGGCUGUUAGCAUUAUGAAAACGUAGUGGAACAGGCAGCAGAGAUUACUCCACUACAUUAAUCCAGCUUCCACUGUACUCACUGUUACAAAUUAAAAGCCACCUGAAGCUCGUGGUACCUUCAGAAUUUCCACUGACAGAAGUUACCGUGUUUCCCCCUGCCUUUAUACACAAGUCUAGGCUUCCAUCAGCAAGAAAGCUCCAGCACAUUUCUUCAUUUGCAAGUUCUGACAGAUUUUAAACGAUCUACAUGCUGUGGUUUUCUUCAAAGUAGCUUUUAAGCAUCCCAUUCAUUCAAAAGUUAGUGUCAACUAACAUACUUCUGUAGAAGUGUAAGUAAUAUAAAUAAAGGACAGAUUCACUACACUAGAUUAGGUCGAAGUUACAUAUUGGUCACUUCUUGGUGAAAAUACUACUCACAUACAGACCAGUGAUUGUCACUGGAGGUUUGUAUUCUGCUAAAAACACCAACAUAAACACACAUACAAAACUCACAAAUUCUGUUAAAAACUGUGGAUUGGAAACAGGUGAACUUGUUAGAACAACUGUUGGCACUGGAAGAAAAAAAGGCGUCACUGCACUAUCCAAAAGAAGCCUUUGACCACAACCUGAAACAAGAACAGCCCUUUAAUAGCCACUUCAGCUUUUUCAGAUGCAGGGACUACGUAUUUUUUAUGUGUCAUCUUAAAUGCUUAAUAUUAAAGAUUAAAAUCACCUUCCAACUGUGAUAAUUUGCAUUAUUAAAAGAUUAAUUAUGAUUUAUUUUAGGCUAGCUCUCGCUAGUGUUUCGUAAUACAGAGCUUGGUUCUUAAGUAUGCUGAAAUUGCACCUUAAGAAAAGCCCUAAUUUACUAAUGGGAUUAUUUAUAAAAUUGCCUUUGUUGAAUUCUCACAGAAGCAGCUUUUUAGUCCUGAAUUAGCUGUGCUUAGUAAUACAGUUUUUUCAACAACCCCUACUAGUGACAACAUCAGGUGCAUUCUUUAUCCCACUAAAGAGGG
Long non-coding RNA from Falco peregrinus (peregrine falcon), 2194 nucleotides. RefSeq lists it as uncharacterized. The transcript is spliced from 2 exons. The record is from RefSeq and is a predicted model, not a curated record. Lineage: Eukaryota; Metazoa; Chordata; Aves; Falconiformes; Falconidae.